UACGUGGGGGGCAAGCGUUGUUCGGAAUUACUGGGCGUAAAGGGCUCGUAGGUGGCCAACUAAGUCAGACGUGAAAUCCCUCGGCUUAACCGGGGAACUGCGUCUGAUACUGGAUGGCUUGAGUUCGGGAGAGGGAUGCGGAAUUCCAGGUGUAGCGGUGAAAUGCGUAGAUAUCUGGAGGAACACCGGUGGCGAAGGCGGCAUCCUGGACCGAAACUGACACUGAGAGACGAAAGCUAGGGGAGCAAAUGGG
This 253-nucleotide ribosomal RNA is filed under the name uncultured bacterium. RNAcentral's name for it is "partial 16S ribosomal RNA". It matches the Rfam family "Bacterial small subunit ribosomal RNA", at positions 524 to 776 of the family's 1533-position model. The record is from RNAcentral.